Mycena latifolia is the source of this 94-nucleotide non-coding RNA. NCBI's taxonomy places the organism in Eukaryota, Fungi, Basidiomycota, Agaricomycetes, Agaricales, Mycenaceae. The record is from the annotation of a GenBank genome assembly.
GGCUCGAUGGCGGAGGGUCCGCCCCUGCAACACUUUGUCAUCCAAUAUACUAGUAGUAUUGCGGGAGGUGCCCGUUCGACUCGGGCUCGAGCUA